Long non-coding RNA from Cynoglossus semilaevis (tongue sole), 3795 nucleotides. RefSeq lists it as uncharacterized. NCBI's taxonomy places the organism in Eukaryota, Metazoa, Chordata, Actinopteri, Pleuronectiformes, Cynoglossidae. The transcript is spliced from 4 exons. The record is from RefSeq and is a predicted model, not a curated record.
UUUGUUUUUUUUCUCAAAGGAAGCUGAAGAUCAUCAUCCAGGCAGUUCCACGUCGUCGACUCCACCGAGACAAAAACCCUCUCAGCCUCAUUGGCUUCAAGUGCUUCUCAAAGGGCUCAAGCUUCCAGCUCUAGUAUUACAGGGAGGAGGAGGAGCCACACAGUGCCACAACUAUUCCACAACACGUUUAUAUCAUUAUCCCAGAUUCAGUGCCAUCAAAGACAUUAUUUGUCUUACUUUUUUUCAACUAGGUUGUGAUUGAGCUGGUGUCUUGGGAGAGGAAAGUGAAAGAAGGGCAGGAAUAUGUGGUGGAAGUGGACGAGCUGAGAGAAAGGAAGGAAACACGUCUUAUUCUAUGAAUCCUUUUUCUUUAAGCACACUCACCGGCUCUCUGCAUACACAGUGACGACUGAGUGCCAAACAAUGGAGACUGAAAUAGACAUGUUUUUGCAGUGGCUGGCUCACAAACAUCCAUCACUCCAGUCACAUCUGGGUCGACUAGUGCUGCCUGGAGCGCCUUGCUCCUGCCUCGCACAGGGAAAUUAAUUCAAUUUGAUAUCUGCAGAAAACAAUCAACAGCUCCUGACGGACAGGCUUCCAACAAAUGUACAGAGAUGUUUCUCAAAACACGUGGUUUGGCUGGAAACAAAUGUCAAAUAUCCAGGAACGGCAGGUUUGUUAACAGCGAAUGAAAUAACCUUUCAAUAAAACUGAGAAGGCCGUGAACACACGCUCCCUGGGUCAUGGAAAGAACAGAGUAAGCAGAUCUGUAUGACUGUUCUGUUUGAGUGCCUCGAUUUACAAUCUGUGUUAAGUCCUCAGACGCUGCUGCCCAGUUGGUCCAAAUCCCUGAUGCUUGUUUUUCAGCUGAAGUGGGUGAGGUGAGUGACCAAAGCAGAGAAGGUUAAGUCAGGACACCUGGGCCUGUGUUCUGCAAUCACUUAGUGCUUACUACAAAAAACUUCAGGAGCUGGUAGCCAAUUAGCAUAACUGUAGCUUGUAGUCAAUCUGUGACCUCUGCUGACCUCUGAGUUUGAUUGCUGUUUCAAAGGUUUGACCCCAUGACCUGAAUGAUGUUAGGUGUGAAGUGACUGAUGUACUUUUCAUUGCAUUUUGUAAAAUAAUAAUAAUUUGUUAUUACAUUUGCUAAGGCGUAUAAACAUAAUAUUAGGGUCUCUGACCUUUAUGCUUCAAAAUAAAAAUGGCUGCCAGCUACUCAUGUUGUGUAACAUUUAUUUUCAUGGCUCAAUUUGAACAAACCAACUCCAUUAGCUUUCUCUGCCUGAACACUGACAUUGUGUUAUUCUUCACAUGACAUUUUGUAUUAAAACAUCACCAAAAUAUUGCAACAACAACAACAACAACAACAACAACAAUAUAUAAUAAGAAUAAUGAUGUAUUAUUAUGUUGUUGUUGUUGUUGGCAGUCCACAAUGAACAUCCAUGUAUUCAAGGCCCAGUAUUAUUCCUCCAAAUAAAUAUUUUUUACUUUUUAAUUUUAUAUCCUGCAGACUGUCGCCGUCUACUGGCCAAAGAUAGAACACAACCCACUGCACUCUACAAGUGUUUGUCAGUCGUCAUGCGGCAUUCACGCUGUGCGGUAGCCAAUUUAGCUUUAGUUACACGGAUAUUAAAAAGCAAUUCAAGCAUUAUUUAAAGGGUCCGCCAACAACAUGUUAGGCCUUCUGCUGACGAAAGAGACCAACCGCACUCUUCAACAAGUUCAGCCCCAAAAGGCAUUAUGAAAUAAAAGGCUGAAGCGGGGACAUGUUAAGUGGACGGGGUCUGGACAAUUUCUGGACCUGGCUGUUUAAAUCCGUCGAUGCUGUAGGAGGUCAACCAAAUCAGAACAGGACCUACGAGAACAGUCAGGAACAUUGAAUGAAGACAUGUUGUGACUUACUGCACUGCAUCUGGACCUUCUCAUGUCGACCAACUGUGACAUUAUCUGUAAAUUUGACUGGAGAGCUCAGAUGGAAUUUUCCAGAAAAUGUCCACAGCAAGGAAAUUAUCUUUUUAUUAAGAACAGUUUAUUGAAAAUGUCCAGACAUUUGUUCGUUUUCUAAAAUAGCAGCAGAUACACAACAGGGUCUGUGUGAGGUCAAAUGAUGUUUGGUUGGAACAGCGCCCACUGUUGAGUGUUUUAGGAAAGCAGUGUUUAGAAUAGAAUUUGAUUAAAUAAUGGGACAGUGAUGAAUUCUGUGGCAUGUUCAGCCUGCUCACCAAACUGGAUUCAUCUGUGUGUUUUUGGUAAAUGAAUAGUGCAGCUAACUGCUGAAUCCUACGUCUGGCACCUGUCCGUUAACAAAAACUGCAGUAAAUGACAUGUGUUAAACUCUGGCCCGGGGGCCAAUUUUGGCCCAUAGUGUAAUUAUAUUUGCCAGAUCAUAUCAAAUGUGUACUAGAGUUGGCCCGCAAGUAUAUAGCUAUAUACCCUAUAUACUGACAGGAUUUGUAGUAUUAGCGGUAAAUGUUAUAGCGCAUACAUUUUGUUGUUAUUGUUGGCCUGUGAAAAAAAAGAUUUACAUUAAUAAGGAACUUGACAGACAACAGAUAAAGAAACAUAAUCAGAACCAAAUACCACUGAUGUGUGUUUUAUUUCAAAUUGAAUUUCUCCUGUGUUUAUAAUAUUAAGCUUUGGUUGUUCCAGAUUCAAUGUUUACGCAAAACAAAAUGUUCCUUUGUACAAAAGGUGAACUCUGAACACCUGGACAUCUGUCAGUGAGAGGGAGUGAACCAGGACGCAAAACUACCAUCUCAUUUCCUUCUCCUGUGUCUUCCUCAUAUUCUGUUUCACUAGAGUGCUAAAUUUAACUUUAAUCGUUCAUCGACGAUGACAUCAUGCUUCUCUCCAGUUGUUUGAGUAAAUGUUGAGUGAGUCAGUUUUCAUUAGAAAAACUCAGUGAACCGCCAAACAUAUACACACAAACAUUACUUGAAAUAAAAGAUCCCGCUGAGCUAGUUUCGGGGUACUCCCGAUUUACAAACAAAAAGUAUGAAACCUGUAUAGUUGAACAGACGAACAAGACAAAUUAAUUGCAGGAAGUAAAAAUUAGUGUUCAGAACAACUUUAUAGAUAAUUUCCCAUGAUACACCUGGCGAUCUCUCACGGCACAAUAAUGUGCCGCAACACAGCGGUUGGGAAACCUUAGUUUAAAUCGAUAUGUCCUUCUGUCUCCAUGAACAGUUUGGUGUUAGAUUUCCGAUGUCCAUCUGUCUAUCUUCAUCCCUUACUUCACUUGAUUCACUCAAAUGUUCCAACUCCACACAGAGCAGAUUUAAAAAGUCUUCACAUAAAAAUGCUCAUGAAAUGCCCAUGUCUUUUUUUAAAAAAAAAACUCAUCAACUCGGGGUUUCAGUAAAAUCUAAAUAUUCUCGAUGGGAUGUGUAGUUCUAGAAGUCACCACAGGGUAAAAUUACUAAGAGUCUAAUGCUUACGUUUCAAUUAACCAAAACCACCUCCCGCUCGCCUGUUUGCACCAUCGAGGCAUCGUGCUGCAUCAUGAGACACAAAUAUUAACAAUGUAAACAUACUGUGUCUUUUUAUGUUUAAACAAAGCGCCCCUCCCUCUUUGUGUGACCUAUAGUGGCAACUGAGGACACGCUACAUGCUGUGUGCAAACUGGGUUGGGUUCUGAAUGUUCUGAAUGACUGAAAGACACAAGGCUAGCACAAAGGGUCUGUGUGUGUUGACAAUAUAUACUAUAUGUCAGAAAAAGAGCAAAAAUAAACUGGCAUUCAAAUACAAAUGAAUCUGUCAUGUGUCAUUGAUGACAAACAGGGUUUUUUCUGAUGA